UUAAUUGAAACCAAAAAGAGGUAAAUUAUUGUUAAUAAUUAAAUUAAAAUUUAAAUUUUCAAUUAAG
This 67-nucleotide transfer RNA is filed under the name Sirex nitobei. RNAcentral describes it as "tRNA-Asn". Lineage: Eukaryota; Metazoa; Arthropoda; Insecta; Hymenoptera; Siricidae. The record is from RNAcentral.